Molecule: ribosomal RNA, 473 nt
Filed under: uncultured organism
Description: partial 16S ribosomal RNA
Rfam family: Bacterial small subunit ribosomal RNA
Source: RNAcentral
UACACUCCUGCGGGAGGCAGCAGUGGGGAAUUUUGGACAAUGGGCGAAAGCCUGAUCCAGCAAUGCCGCGUGAGUGAAGAAGGCCUUCGGGUUGUAAAGCUCUUUUGUCAGGGAAGAAACGGUGAGAGCUAAUAUCUUUUGCUAAUGACGGUACCUGAAGAAUAAGCACCGGCUAACUACGUGCCAGCAGCCGCGGUAAUACGUAGGGUGCAAGCGUUAAUCGGAAUUACUGGGCGUAAAGCGUGCGCAGGCGGUUUUGUAAGUCUGAUGUGAAAUCCCCGGGCUCAACCUGGGAAUUGCAUUGGAGACUGCAAGGCUAGAAUCUGGCAGAGGGGGGUAGAAUUCCACGUGUAGCAGUGAAAUGCGUAGAUAUGUGGAGGAACACCGAUGGCGAAGGCAGCCCCCUGGGUCAAGAUUGACGCUCAUGCACGAAAGCGUGGGGAGCAAACAGGAUUAGAUACCCGAGUAGUCCC